This 437-nucleotide ribosomal RNA is filed under the name uncultured bacterium. RNAcentral's name for it is "bacterial SSU rRNA". It matches the Rfam family "Bacterial small subunit ribosomal RNA", at positions 354 to 796 of the family's 1533-position model. The record is from RNAcentral.
GUCGAGAAUCUUCGGCAAUGGGCGCAAGCCUGACCGAGCGACGCCGCGUGGAGGAUGAAGGCCUUCGGGUUGUAAACUCCUGUCGAGGGGGAAGAAGGUCCGCAAGGACUUGACUGAUCCCUGGAGGAAGCACGGGCUAAGUUCGUGCCAGCAGCCGCGGUAAGACGAACCGUGCGAACGUUAUUCGGAAUCACUGGGCUUAAAGCGCGUGUAGGCGGGAAGGUACGUCCGUCGCUGAAAUCCCCCGGCUCAACCGGGGAACUGGCGUGGAUACGGCCAUCCUGGAGGGGCGUAGGGGGACCUGGAACUUCCGGUGGAGCGGUGAAAUGCGUUGAGAUCGGAAGGAACGCCCGUGGCGAAAGCGAGGUCCUGGACGCCUACUGACGCUGAGACGCGAAAGCCAGGGGAGCGAACGGGAUUAGAUACCCGGGUAGUCC